Lactuca sativa (garden lettuce) is the source of this 1427-nucleotide non-coding RNA. The record is from RefSeq and is a predicted model, not a curated record. Lineage: Eukaryota; Viridiplantae; Streptophyta; Magnoliopsida; Asterales; Asteraceae.
ACUUCAUCCGAUGCUUCGAGGGAAACCUCUGCUUUGGUGAAUGCCCGUGUGGAGUGGAAAGAAACCCCGGAGGCACACGUAGAUCAGCACAAGAUUUUUUAGAUUUGUAACGAAGCCCGGAGGCGCACGUAGAUCAGGGCAAGAUUUUUUAGAUCUGUAAUGGAGGCAGUGAUGAACCAAUUUGUGUGUUAGGCGAAUUUUAGAUUGAUGGAGACGAAGAUUGAUCAUCUGCCGACGAAGAUCAUAAACUACAAGCACAAUCAUGCCCUCUUCUUUCCGUCUCCUUCCUAAUCGCCUCCACCGUCGGUGACCCACUGGUCAUUCACCUUCCAAGCAUCCUUUUUCGCCUGAUUUAUCCGGAAUCGAAGAUUUUUCGGUGCUUUCCAUCAGAGAGAUUUAUGCAGUAAAAAGGACUUUGCGAUUGGCUCAAGAUUUGUUUCAACAGUUGAAGAAGAUUUUCUCCAAUCGAAAAGGUCGUUUUUGCUUUCAACUAAUAACACUAGGUCGACAUUUGAUUCCCGAACCAAGUCGUUGUUUACAUUUGCCCUAAAUCACAAAUAGAAUCGUAAAAUACAAGUCGUUGCAGGAGGAUUUGGAUGCUCCUACUGGGCGGCGUUAUAAAAUGAAAGAUGUCCCCUUCAGUAAGAAUCAAGAAGCUCACCAUUGGAUGCUCCUCCUGGGCAGAGUUGUUUUGUUGGAACUUCAAUUGUUGGUGUUUGUUUUUCACUCUGGGACAGCCUCUGAGAUGGAAGCUUUUCGAUCAAAUCAAAUGUAUUUAGCUUCGGUGUUGUUAUGUUAGAGAUUGUGAGUGGGAAGAAAAAAAUACGAUACUUUCAUAAAGAAUACACCCACAAUCUUAUUGGACAUGCAUGGGGAUUACAUAAAGAAGGGAAAUCUUUGGAACUGGUUGAAGAAUGUAUUAAUAUUGAAUCGAUGAAUUUAUUAGAAGUGAUGAGAUCGAUCCAUGUGGGGUUGUUGUGUGUGCAACAGAGACCUGAAGACAGAAUUUGCACUUAAUUACUAUUUAACCAUUUGUUCUUUGUUGUUCAAUUUGUUCUAAUCAUAAUCGGUUUUGCAGUUGUUCUUGAUGAAAAUAGGAGGACAAGAGCUGUAUGUUGGGCCUGUGGGUCGCCAUUCUUGGGAUAUAAUCGAGUAUUUCGAGGUCGGUAGCACCCCCAUGCACCCUUUACCUAAUUUUUUGGUCUACAACAGAUUUCAGGAGAAACAUCUCAUAAAAGUGAUGAAAUUUUGGAUUCACAGCAGCUACACUAACACACUAACAAAAAUAACCCAUUUGUUUGUUUAUUUUACCAGUGCUUUGUUUUUUCUCUUUCCAUGUAAGUCUAAAGUUGGUUUAGAAAGGUAAAGUGAUUAUUUUGAGAUUAAAAAUUGCUUUUGGAGGUUUAAUUAAAUGUGCAGGUCAAUGA